AUGAGGAGUAAGACUUUGACACCUUCAUCUGGGGUUCAGGGUUCCCCCUUUAAGCCUGUAUUGAAGGGUAAAAGGGUUACCUACCAAGGUUCACGCGAGGAGAUCCAAGUUCAAGCUAAUGCAAGACCCAGAGCCCCUAUGGAUAAGAUCCCUAAGAUUCCUAGCUCAACACACGAUUCUGUGGCCAGAUUGGAUGGUACACUUUUCAGCAGUGGUGGAAAUGUUUCCGAAUCUCAGUAUGAGGGAACGAGCCUGAGGGAACUAAUUAAGCCCGCACGCCAAGCGAUGAGCAAGUUUGAGAAAAUGCAGUUGUUCAAGCAGAUCCUUGAUCAUGUAGACAAAUCCCACGCACAGGGUGUAACCUUACAGCAGUUGCGACCGUCGUAUUUUAUAAUAUCAUCCCCAAACCAAGUAAGGUAUAUCGGUUCUUACAGCAAACAAGAUUUAUCAACCCCAGCCAAACCGGAUAUGGCCGCAGAUGAUGUUUUUAACAGAAAACGAUGCUUCGAUCAGAAAACUUUGCACCAAGAGUGUAAUGGCAAUGGACAUUCAAUCCUGAAGUAUCAGAAGGUUGGUGAACAAGGUUCUGUUGCCGUCAGGCGACCGAUACAUCCCUUCCGGACUGACCACAAAGGGGGCAACCAAAGUGAAGGUGCUGAUCUAGGUGCUUUAGGACAGGGAAAUUCUAGUUGCACCGUCGGAGGUCGUUCUAAGUUUGGCGAACCUUACUAUGGCGGUAAUGCAUCUUAUGGCCAACGUUUUCCUAAUUAUGGCAACCAAGAAUCAGUACUUGAAUUGAGGAUGCUAGAAGAUAGCUGGUACAGAAGCCCGGAAGAGCUCAAUCAAUCGAAAGGCACAUUCCCAUCCAACAUCUACAGCCUUGGGGUUCUUUUAUUUGAGCUCUUUUGCUGCUGUGAAACAUGGGAGCUGCAUUGUGCUGCAAUGUCAGAUCUUCGCCACCGGAUCCUGCCUCCAAUUUUUCUUUCAGAAAGUCCCAAGGAGGCUGGCUUCUGCCUUUGGCUAUUGCAUCCGGAUCCUUUUUCUCGACCAAAAGCAAGAGACAUUCUAGGAUGUGACUUGAUAAAUGAGGGUCAGGAUUUGUCGGUGUUAGAUAAGGCGCCAGCUGCUAUCAAUGAGGAGGACACAGAGUCUGGUUUGUUACUGAAUUUUCUGUCUCAACUGAAAGAAGAAAAGGAGAUGCAUGCUGCCAAGUUAUCAGCAGAUCUUGCAAGCUUGCAGACUGAUAUUGUAGAGGCUGAGAGAAGACACUCGUUGAGGAUGGGGUUCAGUUUAGGGGACAUGGAUGUACCAGCAAGUUCUAAUGAUGUGCCAGGUACUUCAUCAAAUGCCCUGAGAGGGGCAUCGUUGUCAGGUUUGCUAACACCACCAGGCAGGUCAGGCAUAUACGAGGAGAGGGUGAUGAAGAAUUUGCAGCAGCUUGAAAAUGCAUAUUACUCCACGAGGUCCACCAUUGAAACAUCUGAGACUAAUGUAAUUAAGCGUUCCGAUAAUGAUGCUUUAAGGGUCCGUGAAAACUUUAACCACAGUGACGCCGAUGCUAUGAAUGGGCCAACAGACCGCCUUGGAUGCUUUUUUGAUGGUCUAUGCAAAUAUGCCCGGCAUAGUAGGUUUGAAGUACGAGGGAUUUUGAAGAAUGCUGAUAUACUUAACUCUCCAAAUGUGAUCUGCUCUUUGAGUUUUGACCGUGAUGAAGAAUAUUUUGCUGCUGCUGGGGUCUCAAAGAAAAUCAAAAUAUUCGAAUUUGAUGCUCUUUUAAAUGAUCAUGUUGAUAUUCAUUAUCCUAUAGUAGAGAUGCCUAGCAAGUCCAAGCUUAGUUGUGUCUGUUGGAACAACUAUAUAAAGAACUACUUGGCAUCAACAGACUAUGAUGGCACUGUUCAGCUAUGGGAUGCAAGCACUGGCCAAGGGUUCACACAGUUUACAGAGCAUCGGAAAAGAGCUUGGUCUGUGAGUUUCUCAGAGGUGGAUCCAACUAGAUUGGCAAGUGGGAGUGACGAUUGUUGCGUGAAAGUUUGGAAUAUUAACCAGAAAAAUAGCGUGGACACAAUCAGAAAUGUGGCCAACGUAUGCUGUGUACAGUUCUCGCCGUACUCCUCUCGUAUGUUAGCCUUUGGCUCAGCUGAUUACAAGACAUACUGUUAUGAUCUGAGGCAUACAAGGAUCCCCUGGUGUACCAUUUCUGGACAUGGGAAAGCUGUCAGCUAUGUAAGAUUCUUGGAUGCAGAAACGCUUAUAUCUGCGUCAACUGACAAUACCUUGAAGAUAUGGGAUCUCAACCGGACUAAUCCUAAUGGAUUAUCUACUAAUGCUUGCAGUCUGACAUUGAGUGGUCAUACCAACGAGAAGGUAUAA
This 2373-nucleotide ribosomal RNA is filed under the name Triticum aestivum (bread wheat). RNAcentral's name for it is "partial small subunit ribosomal RNA". Lineage: Eukaryota; Viridiplantae; Streptophyta; Magnoliopsida; Poales; Poaceae. The record is from RNAcentral.